UUAAGCGACUAAGCGUACACGGUGGAUGCCCUGGCAGUCAGAGGCGAUGAAGGGCGUGCUAAUCUGCGAUAAGCGCCGGUAAGGUGAUAUGAACCGUUAUAACCGGCGAUACCCGAAUGGGGAAACCCAGUGUGAUUCGUCACACUAUCAUUAACUGAAUCCAUAGGUUAAUGAGGCGAACCGGGGGAACUGAAACAUCUAAGUACCCCGAGGAAAAGAAAUCAACCGAGAUUCCCCCAGUAGCGGCGAGCGAACGGGGAGGAGCCCAGAGCCUGAAUCAGCAUGUGUGUUAGUGGAAGCGUCUGGAAAGGCGCGCGAUACAGGGUGACAGCCCCGUACACAAAAGCGCAUGUGCUGUGAGCUCGAUGAGUAGGGCGGGACACGUGGUAUCCUGUCUGAAUAUGGGGGGACCAUCCUCCAAGGCUAAAUACUCCUGACUGACCGAUAGUGAACCAGUACCGUGAGGGAAAGGCGAAAAGAACCCCGGCGAGGGGAGUGAAAAAGAACCUGAAACCGUGUACGUACAAGCAGUGGGAGCACAGGUUUACCUGUGUGACUGCGUACCUUUUGUAUAAUGGGUCAGCGACUUAUAUUCUGUAGCAAGGUUAACCGAAUAGGGGAGCCGUAGGGAAACCGAGUCUUAACUGGGCGUUAAGUUGCAGGGUAUAGACCCGAAACCCGGUGAUCUAGCCAUGGGCAGGUUGAAGGUUGGGUAACACUAACUGGAGGACCGAACCGACUAAUGUUGAAAAAUUAGCGGAUGACCUGUGGCUGGGGGUGAAAGGCCAAUCAAACCGGGAGAUAGCUGGUUCUCCCCGAAAGCUAUUUAGGUAGCGCCUCGUGAAUUCAUCUCCGGGGGUAGAGCACUGUUUCGGCUAGGGGGCCAUCCCGGCUUACCAACCCGAUGCAAACUGCGAAUACCGGAGAAUGUUAUCACGGGAGACACACGGCGGGUGCUAACGUCCGUCGUGAAGAGGGAAACAACCCAGACCGCCAGCUAAGGUCCCAAAGUCAUGGUUAAGUGGGAAACGAUGUGGGAAGGCCCAGACAGCCAGGAUGUUGGCUUAGAAGCAGCCAUCAUUUAAAGAAAGCGUAAUAGCUCACUGGUCGAGUCGGCCUGCGCGGAAGAUGUAACGGGGCUAAACCAUGCACCGAAGCUGCGGCAGCGACACUGUGUGUUGUUGGGUAGGGGAGCGUUCUGUAAGCCUGUGAAGGUGGCCUGUGAGGGUUGCUGGAGGUAUCAGAAGUGCGAAUGCUGACAUAAGUAACGAUAAAGCGGGUGAAAAGCCCGCUCGCCGGAAGACCAAGGGUUCCUGUCCAACGUUAAUCGGGGCAGGGUGAGUCGACCCCUAAGGCGAGGCCGAAAGGCGUAGUCGAUGGGAAACGGGUUAAUAUUCCCGUACUUGGUGUUACUGCGAAGGGGGGACGGAGAAGGCUAUGUUGGCCGGGCGACGGUUGUCCCGGUUUAAGCGUGUAGGUGUGUGUUCCAGGUAAAUCCGGUUCACUUUAACACUGAGGCGUGACGACGAGGCACUACGGUGCUGAAGCAACAAAUGCCCUGCUUCCAGGAAAAGCCUCUAAGCAUCAGGUAACAUCAAAUCGUACCCCAAACCGACACAGGUGGUCAGGUAGAGAAUACCAAGGCGCUUGAGAGAACUCGGGUGAAGGAACUAGGCAAAAUGGUGCCGUAACUUCGGGAGAAGGCACGCUGACACGUAGGUGAAGUGAUUUACUCAUGGAGCUGAAGUCAGUCGAAGAUACCAGCUGGCUGCAACUGUUUAUUAAAAACACAGCACUGUGCAAACACGAAAGUGGACGUAUACGGUGUGACGCCUGCCCGGUGCCGGAAGGUUAAUUGAUGGGGUCAGCGCAAGCGAAGCUCCUGAUCGAAGCCCCGGUAAACGGCGGCCGUAACUAUAACGGUCCUAAGGUAGCGAAAUUCCUUGUCGGGUAAGUUCCGACCUGCACGAAUGGCGUAAUGAUGGCCAGGCUGUCUCCACCCGAGACUCAGUGAAAUUGAACUCGCUGUGAAGAUGCAGUGUACCCGCGGCAAGACGGAAAGACCCCGUGAACCUUUACUAUAGCUUGACACUGAACAUUGAGCCUUGAUGUGUAGGAUAGGUGGGAGGCUUUGAAGUGUGGACGCCAGUCUGCAUGGAGCCGACCUUGAAAUACCACCCUUUAAUGUUUGAUGUUCUAACGUGGACCCGUUACCCGGGUUGCGGACAGUGUCUGGUGGGUAGUUUGACUGGGGCGGUCUCCUCCUAAAGAGUAACGGAGGAGCACGAAGGUUGGCUAAUCCUGGUCGGACAUCAGGAGGUUAGUGCAAUGGCAUAAGCCAGCUUGACUGCGAGCGUGACGGCGCGAGCAGGUGCGAAAGCAGGUCAUAGUGAUCCGGUGGUUCUGAAUGGAAGGGCCAUCGCUCAACGGAUAAAAGGUACUCCGGGGAUAACAGGCUGAUACCGCCCAAGAGUUCAUAUCGACGGCGGUGUUUGGCACCUCGAUGUCGGCUCAUCACAUCCUGGGGCUGAAGUAGGUCCCAAGGGUAUGGCUGUUCGCCAUUUAAAGUGGUACGCGAGCUGGGUUUAGAACGUCGUGAGACAGUUCGGUCCCUAUCUGCCGUGGGCGCUGGAGAACUGAGGGGGGCUGCUCCUAGUACGAGAGGACCGGAGUGGACGCAUCACUGGUGUUCGGGUUGUCAUGCCAAUGGCACUGCCCGGUAGCUAAAUGCGGAAGAGAUAAGUGCUGAAAGCAUCUAAGCACGAAACUUGCCCCGAGAUGAGUUCUCCCUGAGACUUAGAGUCUCCUGAAGGAACGUUGAAGACGACGACGUUGAUAGGCCGGGUGUGUAAGCGCAGCGAUGCGUUGAGCUAACCGGUACUAAUGAACCGUGAGGCUUAACCUU
This 2905-nucleotide ribosomal RNA is filed under the name Salmonella enterica. Its description in RNAcentral is "bacterial LSU rRNA". It matches the Rfam family "Bacterial large subunit ribosomal RNA". Lineage: Bacteria; Pseudomonadati; Pseudomonadota; Gammaproteobacteria; Enterobacterales; Enterobacteriaceae. The record is from RNAcentral.